AUUGAACGCUGGCGGCAUGCCUUACACAUGCAAGUCGAACGGUAACAGGUCUUCGGACGCUGACGAGUGGCGAACGGGUGAGUAAUACAUCGGAACGUGCCCAGUCGUGGGGGAUAACUACUCGAAAGAGUAGCUAAUACCGCAUACGAUCUGAGGAUGAAAGCGGGGGACCUUCGGGCCUCGCGCGAUUGGAGCGGCCGAUGGCAGAUUAGGUAGUUGGUGGGAUAAAAGCUUACCAAGCCGACGAUCUGUAGCUGGUCUGAGAGGACGACCAGCCACACUGGGACUGAGACACGGCCCAGACUCCUACGGGAGGCAGCAGUGGGGAAUUUUGGACAAUGGGCGAAAGCCUGAUCCAGCAAUGCCGCGUGCAGGAUGAAGGCCUUCGGGUUGUAAACUGCUUUUGUACGGAACGAAAAAGCUUCUCCUAAUACGAGAGGCCCAUGACG
Molecule: ribosomal RNA, 449 nt
Filed under: uncultured bacterium
Lineage: Bacteria
Description: bacterial SSU rRNA
Rfam family: Bacterial small subunit ribosomal RNA
Source: RNAcentral